GGAGGAUAAGCGAAUGGUGAGCAGGCUGACUCGAAAUCAGUUGCCGGGAAACCGGUUGCGAGUUCGAAUCUCGUGUCCUCCG
RNAcentral lists this transfer RNA (82 nucleotides) under Planctomycetia bacterium. Its description in RNAcentral is "tRNA-Ser". It matches the Rfam family "tRNA". Rfam says of the family: Transfer RNA (tRNA) molecules are approximately 80 nucleotides in length. Their secondary structure includes four short double-helical elements and three loops (D, anti-codon, and T loops). Further hydrogen bonds mediate the characteristic L-shaped molecular structure. tRNAs have two regions of fundamental functional importance: the anti-codon, which is responsible for specific mRNA codon recognition, and the 3' end, to which the tRNAs corresponding amino acid is attached (by aminoacyl-tRNA synthetases). tRNAs cope with the degeneracy of the genetic code in two manners: having more than one tRNA (with a specific anti-codon) for a particular amino acid; and 'wobble' base-pairing, i.e. permitting non-standard base-pairing at the 3rd anti-codon position. Lineage: Bacteria; Pseudomonadati; Planctomycetota; Planctomycetia. The record is from RNAcentral.